AUGCAAGUCGAACGGUAGAGGGGGCAACCCCUUGAGAGUGGCGAACGGGUCAUUAAUAUAUCGGAACGUGCCCAGUCGUGGGGGAUAACGUAGCGAAAGUUACGCUAAUACCGCAUACGAUCUAAGGAUGAAAGCGGGGGACUCGCAAGAGCCUCGCGCGAUUGGAGCGGCCGAUAUCAGAUUAGGUAGUUGGUGGGGUAAAGGCUCACCAAGCCAACGAUCUGUAGCUGGUCUGAGAGGACGACCAGCCACACUGGAACUGAGACACGGUCCAGACUCCUACGGGAGGCAGCAGUGGGGAAUUUUGGACAAUGGACGCAAGUCUGAUCCAGCCAUUCCGCGUGCAGGAUGAAGGCCCUCGGGUUGUAAACUGCUUUUGUACGGAACGAAAAGGUUUCUCUUAAUACGAGGAGCUCAUGACGGUACUGUAAGAAUAAGCACCGGCUAACUACGUGCCAGCAGCCGCGGUAAUACGUAGGGUGCAAGCGUUAAUCGGAAUUACUGGGCGUAAAGCGUGCGCAGGCGGUUAUAUAAGACAGAUGUGAAAUCCCCGGGCUCAACCUGGGAACUGCAUUUGUGACUGUAUAGCUAGAGUACGGUAGAGGGGGAUGGAAUUCCGCGUGUAGCAGUGAAAUGCGUAGAUAUGCGGAGGAACACCGAUGGCGAAGGCAAUCCCCUGGACCUGUACUGACGCUCAUGCACGAAAGCGUGGGGAGCAAACAGGAUUAGAUACCCUGGUAGUCCACGCCCUAAACGAUGUCAACUGGUUGUUGGGUCUUCACUGACUCAGUAACGAAGCUAACGCGUGAAGUUGACCGCCUGGGGAGUACGGCCGCAAGGUUGAAACUCAGAGGAAUUGACGGGGACCCGCACAAGCGGUGGAUGAUGUGGUUUAAUUCGNAUGCACGCGAAAACCUUACCCACCUUUGACAUGUACGGAAGCCUUUAGAGAUAGAGGCGUGCUCGAAAGAGAGCCGUAACACAGGUGCUGCAUGGCUGUCGUCAGCUCGUGU
This 1013-nucleotide ribosomal RNA is filed under the name uncultured Comamonadaceae bacterium. RNAcentral's name for it is "bacterial SSU rRNA". It matches the Rfam family "Bacterial small subunit ribosomal RNA", at positions 55 to 1065 of the family's 1533-position model. Lineage: Bacteria; Pseudomonadati; Pseudomonadota; Betaproteobacteria; Burkholderiales; Comamonadaceae. The record is from RNAcentral.